This 253-nucleotide ribosomal RNA is filed under the name uncultured bacterium. RNAcentral's name for it is "partial 16S ribosomal RNA". It matches the Rfam family "Bacterial small subunit ribosomal RNA", at positions 524 to 776 of the family's 1533-position model. The record is from RNAcentral.
UACGUAGGGGGCAAGCGUUGUCCGGAAUCAUUGGGCGUAAAGAGCGUGUAGGCGGCCCGAUAAGUCCGCUGUGAAAGUCCAGGGCUCAACCCUGGGAUGCCGGUGGAUACUGUCGGGCUCGAGUCCGGAAGAGGAGUGUGGAAUUCCUGGUGUAGCGGUGAAAUGCGCAGAUAUCAGGAGGAGCACCAAUGGCGAAGGCAGCACUCUGGGACGUGACUGACGCUGAGACGCGAAAGCGUGGGGAGCAAACAGG